UAGGGAAUCUUCGGCAAUGGGGGGAACCCUGACCGAGCAACGCCGCGUGAGUGAAGAAGGUUUUCGGAUCGUAAAGCUCUGUUGUUAAGGAAGAACGAGUGUGAGAAUGGAAAGUUCAUGCUGUGACGGUACUUAACCAGAAAGGGACGGCUAACUACGCGCCAGCAGCCGCGGUAAUACGUAGGUCCCGAGCGUUGUCCGGAUUUAUUGGGCGUAAAGCGAGCGCAGGCGGUUAGAAAAGUCUGAAGUGAAAGGCAGUGGCUCAACCAUUGUAGGCUUUGGAAACUGUUUAACUUGAGUGCAGAAGGGGAGAGUGGAAUUCCAUGUGUAGCGGUGAAAUGCGUAGAUAUAUGGAGGAACACCGGUGGCGAAAGCGGCUCUCUGGUCUGUAACUGACGCUGAGGCUCGAAAGCGUGGGGAGCGAACAGG
RNAcentral lists this ribosomal RNA (429 nucleotides) under Bacteroidota bacterium. Its description in RNAcentral is "Bacteroidetes bacterium partial 16S ribosomal RNA". It matches the Rfam family "Bacterial small subunit ribosomal RNA", at positions 355 to 776 of the family's 1533-position model. The record is from RNAcentral. Lineage: Bacteria; Pseudomonadati; Bacteroidota.